Long non-coding RNA from Macrobrachium nipponense, 211 nucleotides. RefSeq lists it as uncharacterized. Lineage: Eukaryota; Metazoa; Arthropoda; Malacostraca; Decapoda; Palaemonidae. The record is from RefSeq and is a predicted model, not a curated record. The transcript is spliced from 2 exons.
CCAUACAUGAAGACUUCAUACCCAAACCAAAAACUUUUUCCCAAUCAUUACACAGCUGUCACGGGGACCUAUCCGGAAUUUCAUGGAAUCGUGGCGAGCACCUUUUUUGAUCCAGAGUUGAACGCCACGUUCCAGAAAGGCUCCGAGGAGUCUCUGAAGAGCCACUGGUGGGGAGCUGAACCCAUCUGGAAUACUCUCUCCGACCAGGUAA